GUUGGACAGUCCCAGAGGAGAAGGGGAGCAGGUUCCAAGUCCUGAACAGCCCUGGGGAGAAGGGGAGCUCCAUUCCCUGCACGUGGAGAGGCUCCUGAGCCGUUUCCUGCCGGGCCUGGGUUAUGUUGGUUCACUUUGGCUCCUGCCCUGGAUGCCACUUCCAUGACAUCACUUGGAGUGGAGGAGGUGAGACACUUGUGAGCGAUUAUCUCGUGCAAAUAGCCCUGGGUAAAUAAGCUCGGGGCACUAUUGACACUGAGACUGUUUCUCUUCCGAAUUUCCUGCUGGGGGAACUUUGCCAAGAAGCCAAAAAUGGGGUGGGGGGGGCGGGAACCCAAACUCCUCAACCCCAAACUUCAAAUUUCAAGUCAGGGCAUGGAGGUGCUGUCAUGCAGUUGCUCCAAGCGUGGCUGCAGCAGAUGUGAGGAUGUGUUUGGGGGAGCCUCUGCUGCCGAGCCCUUCCUGGAAUCCUGCAGAAGCCGAAAAGAGCAGGAAAUAUUUUUCUAAGGCAGCCGAAACGAGCCCUCCUUCAAUAAUAACCCAAGGUGUGAAAAACCCCUCUGGUAUUUAUGAGCAGAUGUGAUUCAGGACU
Molecule: long non-coding RNA, 592 nt
Filed under: Junco hyemalis (dark-eyed junco)
Lineage: Eukaryota; Metazoa; Chordata; Aves; Passeriformes; Passerellidae
Description: lncRNA (ENSJHYG00000001387.1)
Source: RNAcentral